GGGGACAUGGUGAAACUGGUAGACACAAGCGACUUAAAAUCGCUCGGAGCAAUCCGUCCGGGUUCGACCCCCGGUGUCCCCACCA
RNAcentral lists this transfer RNA (85 nucleotides) under Phenylobacterium sp. RIFCSPHIGHO2_01_FULL_70_10. RNAcentral's name for it is "tRNA-Leu". It matches the Rfam family "tRNA". From Rfam's summary of the family: Transfer RNA (tRNA) molecules are approximately 80 nucleotides in length. RNAcentral also lists the same sequence under 2 other names. The record is from RNAcentral. Lineage: Bacteria; Pseudomonadati; Pseudomonadota; Alphaproteobacteria; Caulobacterales; Caulobacteraceae.